Molecule: ribosomal RNA, 235 nt
Filed under: uncultured bacterium
Lineage: Bacteria
Description: partial 16S ribosomal RNA
Rfam family: Bacterial small subunit ribosomal RNA
Source: RNAcentral
CGGACGGGUGAGUAACGCGUGGGUAACCUGCCUCAUACAGGGGGAUAACAGUUAGAAAUGACUGCUAAUACCGCAUAAGACCACAGCACCGCAUGGUGCAGGGGUAAAAACUCCGGUGGUAUGAGAUGGACCCGCGUCUGAUUAGGUAGUUGGUGAGGUAACGGCCCACCAAGCCGACGAUCAGUAGCCGACCUGAGAGGGUGACCGGCCACAUUGGGACUGAGACACGGCCCAG